Molecule: ribosomal RNA, 301 nt
Filed under: uncultured bacterium
Lineage: Bacteria
Description: partial 16S ribosomal RNA
Rfam family: Bacterial small subunit ribosomal RNA
Source: RNAcentral
CAGUCGCCGCGGUAGUACGUAGGGUGCGAGCGUUAAUCGGAAUUACUGGGCGUAAAGCGUGCGCAGGCGGUCGUGUAAGACAGGUGUGAAAUCCCCGGGCUUAACCUGGGAACUGCGCUUGUGACUGCACAGCUAGAGUAUGGCAGAGGGGGGUGGAAUUCCACGUGUAGCAGUGAAAUGCAUAGAGAUGUGGAGGAACACCGAUGGCGAAGGCAGCCCCCUGGGCCAAUACUGACGCUCAUGCACGAAAGCGUGGGGAGCAAACAGGAUUAGAUACCCGCGUAGUCCCUGUCUCUUAUAC